UGCUGAAUAUAUGAACUAAGCCUAGGAGGAGCUCGAACACUACAUAUAUAGGCUAUACUACUUAGGAGCUUAUCACAAUUACAAUAGAUGUUUUGAAAGAUUCUCGCAUUCCUUUCUAACCAUAAACCAUAGAGCAUUUCUGUUAUUGUCAUCUUGAAUGUGUGAGCUCGGAGAGAUUUUCCUUUAGAUUGUUCAAUGAACCAUUGGCAGAAUUGUGACCAAUCUUGUCCAGUGAAGUCUGCCACUCCUAGCCAUUGCAGUGUCUGGUAUCUCAACUGGNNN
RNAcentral lists this long non-coding RNA (282 nucleotides) under Nicotiana benthamiana. RNAcentral describes it as "long non-coding RNA (NBEN_LNC032310)". The record is from RNAcentral. Lineage: Eukaryota; Viridiplantae; Streptophyta; Magnoliopsida; Solanales; Solanaceae.